GAUGUGGCGUCCAUGGCUGCUGAGUCAUGCGACCUUUGGCAAGUAUGCAACCAAUUUCAGAAGAGAAGAUACCAAUCUGUUGUGGCCAUGUUCCCAAGCUGAUGUGGCGUCCAUGGCUACUGUGUCAUACGAUCUUUGGAAGUAUGCAACCAAUUAGAACUGAAUGUUUCAGAGAUGGUAUGAAUUAAUUAGACUUAUAACUAAAUUGCUGAGAUUAAACAUACAUUACUUCGGCCUUCAGUCCUAGCAGCUGAAACACAUGAAGAAGGCAAUUGAUUUGCAAAAAAUAAAGGGGGUGAUGGAGAGAACAUGUAACUCACUCAAGAAUUACACAACCAACACGAAUCUAUUACGGAGCAUUAUAAAAAUUAUUAACUUUAAAGUAUGAUCCGUGAGAUAAAAAAUAAGAUAGUGUUUUUUAUUCAAUCGCCAUAUUUUGAACUGAUACUUCGAAACAAACCUGUUGUGACAUUUUGCUAGCAAUCAGGUCACUGAAGGUGGGGCGGUGUCGGACGAAAAAUAAGCAGUUUGGAUUAUCCACAUACCUCUGUUGGUUUACCAUAUCACAUGAUGCAGCCGAUGUGCAUAAAAUCAAUAGCCGUGGGGAAGAUUUGUGUUCUUUGCUCUUCUCCUUCAUCAUUCAUACACCGAUGGAUCCCCUCAGUGGUCGUAUGUUGAUUGAAUAUUUGCCGCUGAUGAUCUGUACUUGAGGCAGGCCUCGAGGCGUUGGCAUCCAGCACUCCUUUGUCUCGGUGCCCAGCGGUAACGGUGCCAAGGGGGACAGUUCAUCGGCGCCGCCACCGUCUCCUCACCGCCAAGAUCGGCCUCCAGUCUCGCGUUGAGAGGAAGAAACGGGUGGGCAUGCAGGUACCUGCACUUGCCGGUGCGCGGCGGCAGUACCCGCUCGAUCUGCGCCUGCAUCUACUCGUCGGCGCCGAGCGCCUCCUCCUCGCUGCGCACAUUAUGGGGGGUUCCUCGUCGGCGCCGCGCUCCCGGCGCUCUACAUCCUCGACGGCCUCCGGUCCGGGGACACCACGGGGAUCGCCGCCGAGAGUGAGAGAGAAGGUGGGGGCCGGGCUUAGCCGGGAUCGGGGGAGCAGAUGGGGGACGGGCGGCGCCGGGAGCCGGGGAGGAGGUCGGGGGCUGGCGGCACCGAGCGGCGGCGAAGGGAUCUAGCGGUGGUGGUGAGGGGACGAAGGGCGGCGGCGGGGAACGAGGGCACAGAGUUGGGCAACUGUUUCUC
Molecule: ribosomal RNA, 1243 nt
Filed under: Triticum aestivum (bread wheat)
Lineage: Eukaryota; Viridiplantae; Streptophyta; Magnoliopsida; Poales; Poaceae
Description: partial small subunit ribosomal RNA
Source: RNAcentral